CCAAAGGUCAAUGGUCGCCUAGAGAAGGGUUUUCCUCUUCCCUCUAUUGGAAAGAUGAACCUUGUCAACACUCAGCUGCAGGUCCUGAAGGACUACAUGCUGAUUGGGACAGACGUUCAGUUCACAGGAUAAGUGCCAUGUAAA
Long non-coding RNA from Coregonus clupeaformis (lake whitefish), 144 nucleotides. RefSeq lists it as uncharacterized. NCBI's taxonomy places the organism in Eukaryota, Metazoa, Chordata, Actinopteri, Salmoniformes, Salmonidae. The transcript has 3 exons. The record is from RefSeq and is a predicted model, not a curated record.